Girardinichthys multiradiatus is the source of this 1460-nucleotide long non-coding RNA. RefSeq lists it as uncharacterized. Lineage: Eukaryota; Metazoa; Chordata; Actinopteri; Cyprinodontiformes; Goodeidae. The transcript is spliced from 3 exons. The record is from RefSeq and is a predicted model, not a curated record.
GCCGCCCAGGUGCCGAAGAAGCAAAGCAGCCUCAGACCACGACACUACUGCCACCAUGUUUGACUAUUGCUUUGAUAUUUUUUUUCCUGAAUGCUCUGUUAGUUUAAUACUAGAUAAAAGGGGAUGCACACCUUCCGUCCUGUCUUUCAUGCCCUCUUGGAGCCUUGACUCCACUCCAUGGUGGCCGGCCUACAUAACUGAAGGUUCCAUGUUUUCUCCAUUUGUGGAUAAAUGGCUUUUUAACCAUUUCCAGAUUGACUGGUGUCAAUGUCUACUUCUUCUUCUCCAGUGCUGAAACGGAGAGAAGUUGCCGAGACUGUGACCAUUGUGGAGACUCCACCCAUUGUUGGGGUCAGAGUUGUGGGCUGGAUCAGCAUUCCCCCGUGGCCUCAGUUGCUUCAAGACCAUCUUCGCUGAGCACAUCAGUGACAAGUGCAGGCGUCGCUUCUACAAGAACUGGAACAAAUCCAAGAAGGCCUUCACCAAAUAAUGCAUAAAUGGUAGGAUGAGGACGGCAAGCAGCUGGAGGAAGACUUUGCUGCCAUGAAGAAAUACUGCCAGGUCUCCUGAGUGUCUCUUAGGCUUCAAAUCAGCCACCGUGCCCUGGAGAACAUCAUCAAAUUCAUCAACACAUUGUCCAAGAUCCUAAGACUGAUUUAACUAACAGUUAAACAUGUUUGCAAAGGUCUGACUGACUGCAGUGUUAGUUUAAGGUUCACAUCUCAGAAAAAGCUUGUGUUUAGAAAACUUUGUGAAGUUUAGACAAAAAAAUUUAAUUAACCGAAUGGGACACCCCAAAGUAUUCAGGGAUUUAAUUUCUUUUAAAAGAGGUUUUAAUACUGGGUGGAAAAUUGGUUUCUGGUAUUAAAAUUGUGCAUCCAUAACUGAUCUGUUUUCUUAGUUGUUCAGUGGAUGUCAUGAACACUAGAUUUUAUUCCAGUACCAGUAGGACUUUUUCUGAGGUAGCGGAGCAGUGCCUCUUUGUGCUGGUCUUCUUUCUGUUCACCCUUUGGGAAAGUGUAAAGGAAACAUUUACGCUAAAAGCUAAAGGGGCAGUUUGGAUCAGUACCCUGUACCUCAGGGCCCACUGUCCUACAUGCUUUAUGUGCUUCCCUGCAGCUGCACACCUUAAAUGACCCCAAAGCACUUAAAUAAAUGGCUGGUAAACAGGUUUUUGCAGCACUUAAUGGUUCAACGUGGUAAGGCCACCAUUUAAAUCAGUUGUGCUGCAGGGACACAUCAUGAAACCUGUAGGACAGUGGCCCCUGUAGAACCGGCUUGGGGACUACUGCUAUAAAGGCCUUCCUCAGCAAACUGCUCUGUUUGACUGGCGUGCACUCUGUGUAAUUAUUGUCCUUCUGAUGCGAAAAGAUUGGAUUUUUUUUGGCUCACAAAUUUUUCCAAAAUUCAAUAACUGUCACUUUCGCUGUUGUGAAGAAUUAAUAAAAACAACAAACAUG